GGCAGUUUUCAGGUGACACACCCUGGAACUGGGAUCCCUCCUCUCUGGUUCUGGGUGUGUCACCCGAGAACCGCA
Myotis davidii is the source of this 75-nucleotide non-coding RNA. The record is from Rfam. NCBI's taxonomy places the organism in Eukaryota, Metazoa, Chordata, Mammalia, Chiroptera, Vespertilionidae.